This 96-nucleotide transfer RNA is filed under the name Candidatus Bathyarchaeota archaeon. Its description in RNAcentral is "tRNA-Met". It matches the Rfam family "tRNA". From Rfam's summary of the family: Transfer RNA (tRNA) molecules are approximately 80 nucleotides in length. Their secondary structure includes four short double-helical elements and three loops (D, anti-codon, and T loops). RNAcentral also lists the same sequence under 1 other name. The record is from RNAcentral. Lineage: Archaea; Thermoproteati; Candidatus Bathyarchaeota.
GCCGGGGUAGCUCAGCUGGUUAGAUGGGCUAGAACAGACUAAAGCGCUGGACUCAUAAUCCAGAGGUCGAGGGUUCAAAACCCUCCCCCGGCACCA